This is a non-coding RNA of Daedaleopsis nitida, 93 nucleotides long. NCBI's taxonomy places the organism in Eukaryota, Fungi, Basidiomycota, Agaricomycetes, Polyporales, Polyporaceae. The record is from the annotation of a GenBank genome assembly.
GCCCGCCUAGCUCAAUCGGAUAGAGCGUGAGACUUUUACGACCUAGUGUCCUGUUUAAUCUCAAGGCUGCGGGUUCGACCCCCGCGGUGGGCU